UACGGGGGGAGCAAGCGUUGUUCGGAUUUACUGGGCGUAAAGGGCGCGUAGGCGGCCACCGCAGGUCGACUGUGAAAUCUCCGGGCUUAACCCGGAAAGGUCAGCCGAUACUGCGGGGCUAGAGUGCAGAAGGGGCAACUGGAAUUCUCGGUGUGGCGGUGAAAUGCGUAGAUAUCGAGAGGAACACCUGCGGCGAAGGCGGGUUGCUGGGCUGACACUGACGCUGAGGAGCGAAAGCGUGGGUAGCGAACAGG
This 254-nucleotide ribosomal RNA is filed under the name uncultured bacterium. Its description in RNAcentral is "partial 16S ribosomal RNA". It matches the Rfam family "Bacterial small subunit ribosomal RNA", at positions 524 to 776 of the family's 1533-position model. The record is from RNAcentral.